Molecule: ribosomal RNA, 119 nt
Filed under: Shigella flexneri 2002017
Lineage: Bacteria; Pseudomonadati; Pseudomonadota; Gammaproteobacteria; Enterobacterales; Enterobacteriaceae
Source: RNAcentral
UGACCCCAUGCCGAACUCAGAAGUGAAACGCCGUAGCGCCGAUGGUAGUGUGGGGUCUCCCCAUGCGAGAGUAGGGAACUGCCAGGCAUCAAAUUAAGCGAAAGGCUAUCCGUCAGGAU